Molecule: long non-coding RNA, 201 nt
Filed under: Elaeis guineensis (African oil palm)
Lineage: Eukaryota; Viridiplantae; Streptophyta; Magnoliopsida; Arecales; Arecaceae
Description: long non-coding RNA (EGUI_LNC003511)
Source: RNAcentral
CAUGGUUUACCGUAUUGUCCGUAUCAUCUGAUAUGGAUGGUAUCAUAUUGUACCAAUCUCAUAUAUAUUCAUCAUCUUAUAUCAUAUCGAUAUUUUAUAUAUUAUUUUUUACUAUAUCAAAUUAUAUAUAGUUAUUUUAAUAGAAUGAUACUGAUAUGGGCUCUGAUCUGAAGAUAGUGAAUUUAAUUUUUUGCUCUCGCA